AACUUAUAUAGACCGAACACGAUUAAAAAUUAAUUAAGUAGGAGUAGCAUAUAUUGUCUCAAUCUCGAUUAGUAAUCUAUAUUUUGUAGCGUUAAGUGAUUUAACUUUUUUUACAUAUUGUAUGUUUUAGAUAUACAAUUAAUUAAGUUAUCGUUAUUUGACAAAUACUGUACUACCAGUUAGGCAAAUCUAGAUGCUUGAUUCUUGAAACUUCUCUGUAAAAUUAUUGGCAUAAUUUUCUUCCACGUUCUUGAAUUGCAUUGUGAUGUUGCAUUUCUGGAAGAUCCAAAUGUUUCAGAAGUAUUCAAAUCUGUUUGUAACUUGUGAAUAACCAAAGCAUAAUCCGUCCACGCUGCAAAUCAACGGGGACAAGAAGCUCUACCGAACAUCCCUGCCUAUCUCAGACGCUGAUCUACUAAGUACUAACCCUAACGGAAUGAAAAUUUGCUAGAGUCAUGACGGCCUAACUCAAAAGUCCCCAUCAAGGUUGAACAGUACCUGCCUUGAACAGUUGAACUAUAGUGAUCCAAGUAUGCCUAGUCUACAUGCUGGUUUUGGUGGUAUCAUGCUCACCACCUGCAUCAGCUUUCUAUCUCAUUCACAGGUAAAAAAAAUCAAAAUUUCUCUGUUUUUGAGUUGUUGAGUAAUAGACAAAUCUUGCAUCCAUAGUCACAACUGUCGUCAUAAAAAGAUUUGGGAUUUGCAAGAUGGAACAGCAGUGGUUAUAGGAAGGUAAGACGAAUUUCCUGAGGAUAUGAACUUCCUACUAUUCUUGAUCAAGUUCGUUGAUUCGUCUGCUUCAAAGCAACCAAAAACUAAUCAUAAACGAGGGAGACCUACGUCGUAGAAAUUUGAGUCCUGCCUUAGAAUCAUAGGUUUUAAAAAACACAUCAUUAUGGUUAUACAUAUGAGAGAGAAGAUGAAGAAACUUAGACAUCAUAUUCAUAGUUAGGUGAGACAGACGUAUUUCUCUUUCAUUUUUCAUCUCUUGAGAGACCUCAACAAGAGGCUCAUCUCUCAACAUCAGAUCCAUGCUAUAUAUGUGUCCAAAAAAAGUAGUUUUGGUGGAUGCAGACACAUACAUAGAUCAAGAAAUAAUAUAUUUGGUGGAUGUUUCAAAUAUUUUGAUAUCAUUCCAUUCUUGAUGUAGAUGGAACAAUAUGCAGCUUUAAAGAGCUAGUACAUGAUA
Salvia splendens (bonfire salvia) is the source of this 1189-nucleotide long non-coding RNA. RefSeq lists it as uncharacterized. The record is from RefSeq and is a predicted model, not a curated record. The transcript is spliced from 3 exons. NCBI's taxonomy places the organism in Eukaryota, Viridiplantae, Streptophyta, Magnoliopsida, Lamiales, Lamiaceae.